RNAcentral lists this ribosomal RNA (460 nucleotides) under uncultured bacterium. RNAcentral's name for it is "partial 16S ribosomal RNA". It matches the Rfam family "Bacterial small subunit ribosomal RNA", at positions 338 to 795 of the family's 1533-position model. The record is from RNAcentral.
CCUACGGGCGGCAGCAGUGAGGAAUAUUGGUCAAUGGACGAGAGUCUGAACCAGCCAAGUAGUGUGAAGGAUGACGGCCCUAUGGGUUGUAAACUUCUUUUAUAUGGGAAUAAAAUGUUCCACGUGUGGGAUUUUGUAUGUACCAUAUGAAUAAGGCUCGGCUAACUCCGUGCCAGCCGCCGCGGUAAUACGGAGGACCCGAGCGUUAUCCGGAUUUAUUGGGUUUAAAGGGAGCGUAGGUGGAUUGUUAAGUGAGUUGUGAAAGUUCGCGGCUCAACCGUAAAAUUGCAGUUGAAACUGGCAGUCUUGAGUACAGGAGAGGUGGGCGGAAGUCGUGGUGUAGCGGUGAAAUGCUUAGAUAGCACGAAGAACUCCGAUUGCGAAGGCAGUUCACUGGACUGCAACUGACACUGAGGCUCGAAAGUGUGGGUAGCAAACAGGAUUAGAUACCCGAGUAGUC